Molecule: unclassified non-coding RNA, 2928 nt
Filed under: Hevea brasiliensis (rubber tree)
Lineage: Eukaryota; Viridiplantae; Streptophyta; Magnoliopsida; Malpighiales; Euphorbiaceae
Source: RNAcentral
AUUAACCAAACGUUAACCUCUGAAGGCUACACAUAAGGGGAGGGGGCUUGGAGGCCAAAACACAAACGAGGAAGAGAUCUAAUUAGAAAUUCAAAAUGAAGAACACAGUGUUAUCAGCCAAAUCAUUGUUAUCCAUACACAGUUUAUGCUUGUUUAAUAAUUCCAGAAGGCACAGUUGAAGGAAACCAUGGUUUAGAAACAAGCCUGGUGCAUCCAAACAAAUUACACUUUAUUGCAAAACUUGCUACACUACAUAAAUGCUUGCUCCGAAUCUUCAAUAUGAAACUUCAAAAUGGCAAGAAAAAGGAGUUCAACUCACUCCUCUGAUUGCCUUUGCCCUAAAACUGGAAUGUCUUCAUAACGCUUCUGUAACAGAGAAUAAAAGGAUCAAAAUUCAUAUCAGAGGUAACAAAAGUAAUGAGAUGGAGCAGCAACCAGGUAAUGCAGUCAAGGUUCAUAAGUUGACGGGUUCAUGAGUUGAGUUUCCUUCAGCCUAAUAGUUGGCUCCAGUGGUUGGAAAAUUGUCUAAUGUGAUUGAUAAUAAAUUGGAUAAAAACAGUGCAAGUGCAUCAGUGUAUACACAAAACAAAUCAAAAUCAAGAUUGCAAUACAAAUUGAGUAAAUAUCAUCUGUGUAUGUGUGUAGAUGUGAACAUCACAAAUUGAGUACGAUAUUUAAAACAAAUAGAUUUUGCAGUGCACAAAGUACCGUUUAGGCACUCUUGAAAAUGUUGUAUCCAAACUCACAACGAUGAGUGGCGGAAAAUAACAGAUAACAGGACUUCUAGUUUGAAUUUCAUAAUGGCAAAAGAAGACAGCGAUGACGUGUAUAACUGAUUUUCAAGAAAACUUUGGAAUGAUAUUAAUACAAGAGGCACCCACAAAAUAAAACUACAUUUUAAAGUGAAGUUUAUUGGGGGAAUUCAAUUGGAAUAUAACCACUUCUCUAAAUUUUAAAUUUAAAUUGCAACUGGAAUGAAGCAGCAACAUCCUACUUUUGGUUCUUCAUGUAAAUACACUCUACUAAGCAAUGUAACCAAAAUUUUAAAUUUUUUAAAUUAGAAAAUUUGUUUCAUCCGAAACAAGAAAUGAGUUAGUAAUGACCUACAAAAUUGGACAAUUUAAAGGGCCAUUCAACAUUUCUGAAACAACUUCAUGAUGAUCCUUUCCCAAAAAGGCCCUCAUGCACCAAAAUUCAAAAGUGCAAUAAGUUAGAGAUGGGGGAAAUUUGUUUACUUGUUUCUACAAUCAAGGCCUUAAAAUUGCAACCUUGAAAGUCUGAAACCAUUAUGGCAGUUAAAAUAAAUUAGUUCCAAAACAACAGCAGGGAGGCAGGGACAUUACAAAUUAGUCAUGACCAAUGUAUCCUAUUAUUGUGCCUUAUUUUCAAAGUGAUCCCCACCGUAACGGCAUGCACUCAAAAGUUAUUAUGAAGUUUAUAAGUCAAAAGUCCUGUAAAGUUAAUUAGAAAGUUAAUACACUAGGAAUCAGAAGUCCUAUAGUGCUACUACACUGCUCCAGCUAACAAAAACCAUAGUCUAACUCUUGAUGAGUGUUAUGAACCAAGCGAGUGAGAAUGCCCAACACUCACUGAAAACUAAAGCUGAUAAUGACAAGAAAGUAAGGAAGUCUCUGAUAUCUACUUGACAAGUAAACAAGAUUAGGAAGUCUCCUGCAAAAAACUGAUGGCAAUGCAUAACAUGGUCCUACAUUUGUACCGUAGAAGAAAAAAAAAUUGCCCAACUAGAUUGCUGUUACUAGAUGAACUCCACAUUUUAUCAUCAUUCCAUCAGAGGAUAUUUCCUUGGCUAAUGAGCAACGUACAGAAGUGUGGAUAGCUGUGGAAAAUAUUAUAUAUCAUUUAUAUAAUUAUAUCAAUAUAUUGUUAAGGUUCUUAUCUGUUAAAUACAAAGCCUAGAUGGUUCACACAUUCGCAUCAAAUCAGGAAAACUUAACAUAAAUAAGGAAUAUAGGAGAGCAGAAAUACCCCAACAUUGUUGUAUUCCCAAAUCUUACGAACUCCAUAAUCCACAGCCUACAACCAGCAAAUCAAUUGCGACAUAAGUUGGACAUAUCAUAAGAAACUAAAGAUGCAUAAUGUGACUGCCACAAAUAUUUAGCUAAAUCAAAUACUAAACAAGGCUCCCUUUAUACCUUUCACAAAGAAGCACACAGUAUUCAGCAUCAAUAUCAUUCAAUUUCUCUUCUUGAUUUUGAAUCCCAUAUAAAAUACUCAAGAAAUUUAACCCCACAGCUAGAAAACAGAGAACAACUAGAAGAAAAUCUCUGUAAACAGAAUUUCCAUACCAAUCAAUAAAAAAAAAAAGAAAAAAAAGUCUAUUAUGUGAUUUUGGGUACAGCGAAACAACGAUAAUAUCCAACAUUUCUGAUUCCAGAUUUCAAAUCAACAAAACACAUGGCCGAUCUAAGAGACAUAAAAUAAAUAUAAUGAAAUCCAAGUACCAAAAUUAACAGAAUAAACACAACAGCGCCCAACUCCCUUUAGAAAUCAAGAUCAAACCAAGUCCAAUUUUAAACCAAGCAUUUGAGAAUAAUAACAACAAGGCUAGACCGGGUGAUCAAAUAUAGCGAAACGAGUUAUUCAGAUUAAAAACUCCACAUUCUUACCCGUUCACCGGCGAAAGCUCCGGCGAUGACGAAGGUGACGUAGAUGGAGUUGCGGCGCAUAAUCAGCCUGUAUAGACCUUCAAAGAGGCCGCCUUGACUUCUUCGAGUGGUAUGCUCCAUGGCGAUCGGCUUCGAUAUCGUGCGUCGGAUCUGAGCUCUAGGGCUUGCAGAGGGCAACCAAAAAAAUGGAGAUGCUGCUUGUGAAUCGUAACGAUGAUGGUAUAUUGGUAUUGGAUGCCGAUAGAUGAAACCGGGUCAUUCAACGGGUCAACCCGAUUACGCGGGGCUACAAACGAUUAGU